This 258-nucleotide long non-coding RNA is filed under the name Lathyrus oleraceus (garden pea). RNAcentral's name for it is "Pisum sativum (pea) long non-coding RNA (PSAT_LNC025021)". The record is from RNAcentral. Lineage: Eukaryota; Viridiplantae; Streptophyta; Magnoliopsida; Fabales; Fabaceae.
AAUAACAUCUUUUGUUUUGAAGCAUAAGCAGUCAUGUGAUCCAAGGCUCCUAGGAGGCUCUUAUACUCAAUGAAGUGGCCAUAUGAAGAUGAAAGCAAGCAUGACAAUAAUAUGUAUAUUUUUUUCUCAUCUCCCCAAUCUUGUUUGCACAAAUAUUUUCACAAAUACCAACCUACAAUACACUUUGAAAAAAGAGCUCCCUUAUAGUACUAAGGAUGUUUUGGGUGCUUAAAACCUUCCCAUUGCAUAACCAACCCC